AACGCGAAGAACCUUACCCAGGCUUGAACAGCGAGUGACCAUCGACGAAAGUUGACUUCCGCAAGGACACUCGUAGAGGUGCUGCAUGGCUGUCGUCAGCUCGUGUCGUGAGAUGUUGGGUUAAGUCCCGCAACGAGCGCAACCCUUGUUUGCUGUUGCCAUCACGUUAUGGUGGGCACUCUGCAAAGACUGCCGGUGAUAAACCGGAGGAAGGUGGGGAUGACGUCAAGUCAGCAUGGCCUUUAUGUCUGGGGCUACACACGUGCUACAAUGGCCGAUACAAACCGUCGCGAGCCCGCAAGGGGGAGCUAAUCGGAGAAAGUCGGUCUCAGUUCGGAUAGCAGGCUGCAACUCGCCUGCUUGAAGUUGGAAUCGCUAGUAAUCGCGGAUCAGCACGCCGCGGUGAAUACGUUCCCGGGCCUUGUACACACCGCUACAGU
RNAcentral lists this ribosomal RNA (440 nucleotides) under uncultured bacterium. RNAcentral describes it as "bacterial SSU rRNA". It matches the Rfam family "Bacterial small subunit ribosomal RNA", at positions 958 to 1401 of the family's 1533-position model. The record is from RNAcentral.